CGAACGGGUGAGUAACGCGUGAGGAACCUGCCUCAGAGAGGGGGACAACAGUUGGAAACGACUGCUAAUACCGCAUAAGCCCACGGCUCGGCAUCGAGCAGAGGGAAAAGGAGUAAUCCGCUUUGAGAUGGCCUCGCGUCCGAUUAGCUAGUUGGUGAGGUAACGGCCCACCAAGGCGACGAUCGGUAGCCGGACUGAGAGGUUGAACGGCCACAUUGGGACUGAGACACGGCCCAG
This 237-nucleotide ribosomal RNA is filed under the name uncultured bacterium. RNAcentral describes it as "partial 16S ribosomal RNA". It matches the Rfam family "Bacterial small subunit ribosomal RNA", at positions 99 to 334 of the family's 1533-position model. The record is from RNAcentral.